RNAcentral lists this unclassified non-coding RNA (330 nucleotides) under uncultured fungus. RNAcentral's name for it is "partial contains 5.8S ribosomal RNA, internal transcribed spacer 2, and large subunit ribosomal RNA". Lineage: Eukaryota; Fungi. The record is from RNAcentral.
AACGCAUAUUGCGCUCGAGGCUUCGGCCGAGAGCAUGUCUGCCUCAGCGUCGGUUCACCCCCUCACACCCUCCCUUUGGUUUUACAAGUGGGCUGGGCUGUGGAUCUGGCCGUGUCGGCUGCCCAUUGUGGCCGAGUCGGCUGAAGCUCAGAGGCUUGAGCAAGCGCCCAUUCAACCGGGCAUCAACUAGGUGGGUGGCCCACGGGCUGCGAAGCCGUUGAUGGCCGGGGGACUUGCUGGGGGCCUGCAGGAACACCGCUCCCCGAUAGGAGGGCUGGUGGCGACUCACCUUUCGACCUGAGAUCAGGCAAGAACACCCGCUGAACUUAA